Molecule: long non-coding RNA, 906 nt
Organism: Neopelma chrysocephalum (saffron-crested tyrant-manakin)
Lineage: Eukaryota; Metazoa; Chordata; Aves; Passeriformes; Pipridae
Exons: 4
Source: RefSeq, a predicted model, not a curated record
GACGGUGACACGGAGCUGGGACAGUGACACGGGUGUCACACGGGUGUCACACGGAUGUGACAAUGACACGGAGCUGGGACAGUGACACAGAGGUCACAUGGAUGUGACGGUGACACGGAGCUGGGACAGUGACACGGAUGUGACACGGAUGUCACACAGAUGUGACGGUGACACAGAGCUGGGACAGUGACACGGAUGUCACACAAGGACAAGGAUGUCACACAGUGCCACAGGAUGUCACACGGAUGUCACACAGUGUCACACGGUAUCACAGCUGGUGACACGGAUGUCACACGGGGACAGGGGUGUCACACAAUGUCACACAGAUGUCACAGCUGGUGACACGUCACACAGUGUCACACGGGGACACGGAUGUCACACGGUGUCACAGGAUGUCACAGCUGGUGACACGGAUGUCACAGAGGGACAAGGAUGUCACACGGUGUCAUGCGGUGACACGGAUGGUGACAUGGAUGUCACACGCUGACAAGGACAUCACACGGUGUCACAGGGACACAGUGGGACACGGUGGCACGCGGAUGUCACACAGGGACCUGGAUGUCACACAGUGUCACAAGAUGUCACACGGGGACACGGAUGGUGACACCGAUGUCACACGGGGACAAGGACCUCACACGGAUGUCCCACGGUGACACAGCUGGUGACACGGAUGUCGCACAGGGACAUCACACGGUGUCACAGGGACACGGAUGCCACACGGACGUCACACGGAUGUCACACAAGGACAAGGAUGUCACACGGUGUCACAGGGACACGGGUGUCACACGGUGACACACAGAUGUCACACGGGGACACGGAUGGUGACACCGAUGUCACAUGGGGACAAGGACGUCACACGGAUGUCACACAACGUCACAGGAUGUCCCAGCUGGUGACACGGAUGUC